RNAcentral lists this ribosomal RNA (429 nucleotides) under Chloroflexota bacterium. RNAcentral's name for it is "Chloroflexi bacterium partial 16S ribosomal RNA". It matches the Rfam family "Bacterial small subunit ribosomal RNA", at positions 355 to 776 of the family's 1533-position model. The record is from RNAcentral. Lineage: Bacteria; Bacillati; Chloroflexota. RNAcentral also lists the same sequence under 1 other name.
UAGGGAAUCUUCGGCAAUGGACGAAAGUCUGACCGAGCAACGCCGCGUGAGUGAAGAAGGUUUUCGGAUCGUAAAACUCUGUUGUUAGAGAAGAACAAGGACGUUAGUAACUGAACGUCCCCUGACGGUAUCUAACCAGAAAGCCACGGCUAACUACGUGCCAGCAGCCGCGGUAAUACGUAGGUGGCAAGCGUUGUCCGGAUUUAUUGGGCGUAAAGCGAGCGCAGGCGGUUUCUUAAGUCUGAUGUGAAAGCCCCCGGCUCAACCGGGGAGGGUCAUUGGAAACUGGGAGACUUGAGUGCAGAAGAGGAGAGUGGAAUUCCAUGUGUAGCGGCGAAAUGCGUAGAUAUAUGGAGGAACACCAGUGGCGAAGGCGGCUCUCUGGUCUGUAACUGACGCUGAGGCUCGAAAGCGUGGGGAGCAAACAGG